AACACUAUCUGGUAAUAAAAUAACACUGCCAUUGCUAGGCCAGUGUUAUAUCCACGACAGUGUCGGUGUAAAACAAGGGUGUUAUCAGAUCACUCUGAGCGGUGUAAAUCAAGCCACGCCUCCACUAAACAUAUCCUGUCAGGGAUUUUACCGCCAUUUUCUUUCAAAGGAGGACUGAAGAGAGCAGAUGCUAGUUUGGUGAAAGUACACACUGAGUGCUUAAAAUCAUUCAGAAGAGAUGCUGUUUUUAAGGCAGUUUAUUAAAGAAGACCUGACAUGGAUGACUUCCAAUGAGAAACGACUGCUAAUACUUAUAUAAAUUCAUUACAGAAGGACCCUACCAGACUAUAUUUGAAUAUGGCAUACCCAUGAAUUCUGGAACUGUUAUUCCUUAACCCAGUUUGGAGGAUAAGAGCUUACCAACUAUAAAUAUGCUGAGGUGAUGUAUUGCAAAAUAGCCAACAUACAACAAUUAAAGGAUAAUUGCAGACUACGUCCUGAUGAAGAUAUGGAUGACCCUCUGUCUGGUCAACAGGAGUUUAAAUAUGGACGGGACAGUUAUGUGGCAGCUCUUCCCUGGCUCAUUCACUUCUUGCCUUCAUUUGUGAAAGGAGGAAAGACUGGAGAGGGUCAAUGUGCAACUGAAGCUACUGAUUGUGCUGUGUGAUGAGCAUCAAUCCAUGCUUUGAGGUGGAUGGAUCAGCACAGCCCUGCCUGCUCUGCGUUGGGAACAAAAGUUGCAUCCAGAGUUUUUGCAUCAUUCUGGACCAAAAAGCCAUUCCCUGCAUGAUGAAGACCACUGAUGCAGCCUUCCACUACUGUACAGUAAAACAACUACAGAACUAAAUACCAGGUUGGAACGUGUUUAAGAAAAAUGAAACGUCUUUUGAAUUGAAAUGUCUGUUUUGUUAUGGAAAAAUCUUUAGUAUUGUGAAGGAUAAGCAUUUCUGCUUGCCGAUAAGGUAAUUGCAUGUAUUUUAAUGUUCAAGUUUUGAGUAGGGUGGCUAAUUUUUUUAAACUCUCAUUUGAUUUAUUAAAGACCUUAUAAUAAGUGGUUUUCAUGUCACUGCGCUGUGGUAUAAGAUAACUUUCAUUAUUCCAUACUGUAUUCUGUUUCUAAUUGUAGCUGAGGUAUUUAAAUAAGCAGUGUUAAAUGCAAAGUGUUGUGUGUAUCAAUGUAAAUAUUAAAUGUGAUUUACUUUAAU
Molecule: non-coding RNA, 1205 nt
Organism: Misgurnus anguillicaudatus (oriental weatherfish)
Lineage: Eukaryota; Metazoa; Chordata; Actinopteri; Cypriniformes; Cobitidae
Source: RefSeq, a predicted model, not a curated record